This 467-nucleotide ribosomal RNA is filed under the name uncultured bacterium. Its description in RNAcentral is "partial 16S ribosomal RNA". It matches the Rfam family "Bacterial small subunit ribosomal RNA", at positions 29 to 507 of the family's 1533-position model. The record is from RNAcentral.
ACGAACGCUGGCGGCGUGCUUAACACAUGCCAGUCGCACGGAAAGGCCCUGCUUUUGUGGGGUGCUCGAGUGGCGAACGGGUGAGUAACACGUGAGUAACCUGCCCUUGACUUUGGGAUAACUUCAGGAAACUGGGGCUAAUACCGGAUAGGAGCUCCUGCUGCAUGGUGGGGGUUGGAAAGUUUCGGCGGUUGGGGAUGGACUCGCGGCUUAUCAGCUUGUUGGUGGGGUAGUGGCUUACCAAGGCUUUGACGGGUAGCCGGCCUGAGAGGGUGACCGGCCAAAUUGGGACUGAGAUACGGCCCAGACUCCUACGGGAGGCAGCAGUGGGGAAUAUUGCACAAUGGGCGGAAGCCUGAUGCAGCAACGCCGCGUGCGGGAUGACGGCCUUCGGGUUGUAAACCGCUUUCGCCUGUGACGAAGCGUGAGUGACGGUAAUGGGUAAAGAAGCACCGGCUAACUACGUG